RNAcentral lists this ribosomal RNA (496 nucleotides) under uncultured bacterium. RNAcentral's name for it is "partial 16S ribosomal RNA". It matches the Rfam family "Bacterial small subunit ribosomal RNA", at positions 28 to 523 of the family's 1533-position model. The record is from RNAcentral.
GAUGAACGCUAGCGGCAGGCCUAAUACAUGCAAGUCGAGGGGUAUAAGGAGCUUGCUUCUUUGAGACCGGCGCACGGGUGCGUAACGCGUACGCAACCUACCUUAAUCAGGGGGAUAGCCCGGAGAAAUUCGGAUUAACACCGCAUAAAAUCACAGUAUUGCAUAAUACAAUGAUCAAAUAUUUAUAGGAUGAAGAUGGGCAUGCGUGUCAUUAGCUAGUUGGUAAGGUAACGGCUUACCAAGGCGACGAUGACUAGGGGAUCUGAGAGGAUUACCCCCCACACUGGUACUGAGACACGGACCAGACUCCUACGGGAGGCAGCAGUAAGGAAUAUUGGUCAAUGGACGCAAGUCUGAACCAGCCAUGCCGCGUGCAGGAUGACUGCCCUAUGGGUUGUAAACUGCUUUUAUAUAGGAAUAAAUGUACUUACGUGUAAGUAUUUGAAUGUACUAUAGGAAUAAGGAUCGGCUAACUCCGUGCCAGCCGCCGCCGUAA